RNAcentral lists this ribosomal RNA (447 nucleotides) under Streptomyces xanthophaeus. RNAcentral's name for it is "bacterial SSU rRNA". It matches the Rfam family "Bacterial small subunit ribosomal RNA", at positions 105 to 566 of the family's 1533-position model. The record is from RNAcentral. Lineage: Bacteria; Bacillati; Actinomycetota; Actinomycetes; Kitasatosporales; Streptomycetaceae.
GGUGAGUAACACGUGGGCAAUCUGCCCUUCACUCUGGGACAAGCCCUGGAAACGGGGUCUAAUACCGGAUACCACUCCUGCCUGCAUGGGCGGGGGUUGAAAGCUCCGGCGGUGAAGGAUGAGCCCGCGGCCUAUCAGCUUGUUGGUGGGGUAAUGGCCCACCAAGGCGACGACGGGUAGCCGGCCUGAGAGGGCGACCGGCCACACUGGGACUGAGACACGGCCCAGACUCCUACGGGAGGCAGCAGUGGGGAAUAUUGCACAAUGGGCGAAAGCCUGAUGCAGCGACGCCGCGUGAGGGAUGACGGCCUUCGGGUUGUAAACCUCUUUCAGCAGGGAAGAAGCGAAAGUGACGGUACCUGCAGAAGAAGCGCCGGCUAACUACGUGCCAGCAGCCGCGGUAAUACGUAGGGCGCAAGCGUUGUCCGGAAUUAUUGGGCGUAAAGA